CCUACGGGAGGCUGCAGUGGGGAAUAUUGCGCAAUGGGCGAAAGCCUGACGCAGCGACGCCGCGUGGGUGAUGAAGGCCUUCGGGUUGUAAAGCCCUGUCGGGUGGAACGAACGAUCUGGCGGCGAAUAACCGCCGGGUGUGAAGGUACCACCGAAGGAAGCCCCGGCUAACUACGUGCCAGCAGCCGCGGUAAGACGUAGGGGGCGAGCGUUGUUCGGAUUUACUGGGCGUACAGCGCGCGUAGGUGGUGAAAUCCCUCUGCUUAAGCUAGGUCCCGAAUCCGAUACUGUCUGGCUCGAGUCUAGGAGAGGAAAGCGGAAUUCCCAGUGUAGCGGUGAAAUGCGUAGAUAUUGGGAGGAACACCGGUGGCGAAGGCGGCUUUCCGGACUAGUACUGACGCUGAGGCGCGAAAGCUAGGGGAGCGAACGGGAUUAGAUACCCGAGUAGUC
RNAcentral lists this ribosomal RNA (450 nucleotides) under uncultured bacterium. RNAcentral describes it as "partial 16S ribosomal RNA". It matches the Rfam family "Bacterial small subunit ribosomal RNA", at positions 338 to 795 of the family's 1533-position model. The record is from RNAcentral.